RNAcentral lists this transfer RNA (65 nucleotides) under Orcula dolium. RNAcentral's name for it is "tRNA-Phe". The record is from RNAcentral. Lineage: Eukaryota; Metazoa; Mollusca; Gastropoda; Stylommatophora; Orculidae.
UAGGUGGAUAACUUAACAUAAAGUAAAGCUUUGAAGGGGCUUAAAUGAAAUAUUUCUCUACCUAG